UUACGGUCAUAUAGCGUUGAAACACCGAUUCCCCUACAAGCACCGAAGUUAAGCAACGUCGAGACUGGACAGUACCUAUAUGGGUGACCGCUUGGUAAUACCAGCUGUUGCAAG
Molecule: non-coding RNA, 114 nt
Organism: Acanthosepion pharaonis
Lineage: Eukaryota; Metazoa; Mollusca; Cephalopoda; Sepiida; Sepiidae
Source: the annotation of a GenBank genome assembly